This 439-nucleotide ribosomal RNA is filed under the name uncultured bacterium. RNAcentral's name for it is "partial 16S ribosomal RNA". It matches the Rfam family "Bacterial small subunit ribosomal RNA", at positions 338 to 795 of the family's 1533-position model. The record is from RNAcentral.
CCUACGGGUGGCUGCAGUAGGGAAUAUUGCUCAAUGGGGGAAACCCUGAAGCAGCAACGCCGCGUGGAGGAUGAAGGUUUUCGGAUUGUAAACUCCUUUUGUUAGAGAAGAUAAUGCAGGUAUCUAACGAAUAAGCACCGGCUACUUCCGGCCCGACUGCGUAGGUAUUCGGAGGGUUAAAGCGUUAGCCGGAAUCACUGGGCGGAAAGAGGGAGUAGGGGGGAUAGCAAGUCAGAUGUGAACUCCUAUGGCUUAACCAUAGAACUGCAUUUGAAACUGUUAUUCUAGAGUAUGGGAGAGGUAGGUGGAAUUCUUGGUGUAGGGGUAAAAUCCGUAGAGAUCAAGAGGAAUACUCAUUGCGAAGGCGACCUGCUAGAACAUAACUGACGCUGAUGCGCGAAAGCGUGGGGAGCAAACAGGAUUAGAUACCCGUGUAGUC